GACAGAGGGGGCAAGCGUUGCUCGGAAUUACUGGGCGUAAAGGGCGCGUAGGCGGGAUGGCAAGUCGGUCGUGAAAUCCUUCGGCUCAACCGAAGAACGUCGGCCGAUACUGCCGUUCUUGAGGGAUGCAGAGGAGAUUGGAAUUCCCGGUGUAGCGGUGAAAUGUGUAGAGAUCGGGAGGAACACCGGUGGCGAAGGCGGGUCUCUGGGCAUCUCCUGACGCUGAGGAGCGAAAGCGUGGGGAGCGAACAGG
Molecule: ribosomal RNA, 253 nt
Filed under: uncultured bacterium
Lineage: Bacteria
Description: partial 16S ribosomal RNA
Rfam family: Bacterial small subunit ribosomal RNA
Source: RNAcentral